GGCGAGUGAAGCGGCAACAGCUCAAAUUUGAAAUCUGGCUCUUUUAGAGUCCGAGUUGUAAUUUGCAGAGGGCGCUUUGGCUUUGGCAGCGGUCCAAGUUCCUUGGAACAGGACGUCACAGAGGGUGAGAAUCCCGUACGUGGUCGCUGGCUAUUGCCGUGUAAAGCCCCUUCGACGAGUCGAGUUGUUUGGGAAUGCAGCUCUAAAUGGGAGGUACAUUUCUUCUAAAGCUAAAUAUUGGCCAGAGACCGAUAGCGCACAAGUAGAGUGAUCGAAAGAUGAAAAGCACUUUGGAAAGAGAGUCAAACAGCACGUGAAAUUGUUGAAAGGGAAGCGCUUGCAGCCAGACUUGCUUACAGUUGCUCAUCCGGGUUUCUACCCGGUGCACUCUUCUGUAGGCAGGCCAGCAUCAGUUUGGGCGGUAGGAUAAAGGUCUCUGUCACGUACCUCCUUUCGGGGAGGCCUUAUAGGGGAGACGA
This 479-nucleotide ribosomal RNA is filed under the name Alternaria alternata. Its description in RNAcentral is "eukaryotic LSU rRNA". It matches the Rfam family "Eukaryotic large subunit ribosomal RNA", at positions 88 to 571 of the family's 3401-position model. Lineage: Eukaryota; Fungi; Ascomycota; Dothideomycetes; Pleosporales; Pleosporaceae. The record is from RNAcentral.